Molecule: ribosomal RNA, 515 nt
Filed under: uncultured bacterium
Lineage: Bacteria
Description: bacterial SSU rRNA
Rfam family: Bacterial small subunit ribosomal RNA
Source: RNAcentral
CGUAACCAGAGAGAUUUGGUGUUCCCUUCGGGACCUGCACACAGGUGCUGCAUGGCUGUCGUCAGCUCGUGUCGUGAGAUGUUGGGUUAAGUCCCGCAACGAGCGCAACCCACGUCUUAGUUGCCAUCAUUGAGUUGGGCACUCUAGGGAGACUGCCGGUGAUAAGCCGCGAGGAAGGUGUGGAUGACGUCAAGUCCUCAUGGCCCUUACGGGAUGGGCUACACACGUGCUACAAUGGCGGUGACAGUGGGAUGCGAGCCUGCGAAGGUGAGCAAAUCCCCAAAAGCCGUCUCAGUUCGGAUUGCACUCUGCAACUCGGGUGCAUGAAGGCGGAAUCGCUAGUAAUCGUGGAUCAGCAUGCCACGGUGAAUACGUUCCCGGGCCUUGUACACACCGCCCGUCACACCAUGGGAGUUGGUCUUACCCGACGGCGCUGCGCCAACCCGCGAGGGGAGCAGGCGACCACGGUAGGGUCAGCGACUGGGGUGAAGUCGUAACAAGGUAAGCGUAGUGCU